RNAcentral lists this small nucleolar RNA (111 nucleotides) under Erinaceus europaeus (western European hedgehog). RNAcentral describes it as "Small nucleolar RNA SNORA55 (ENSEEUG00000023841.1)". It matches the Rfam family "Small nucleolar RNA SNORA55", at positions 23 to 135 of the family's 135-position model. Rfam says of the family: ACA55 is a member of the H/ACA class of snoRNA that guide the sites of modification of uridines to pseudouridines. Lineage: Eukaryota; Metazoa; Chordata; Mammalia; Eulipotyphla; Erinaceidae. The record is from RNAcentral.
NCACUGCCUCAUGCAGGUGUGAGGACAGAUGUUGCUACAGUACGAACAGAGGAAAUACAGACAGGUGGUUUGCCUUUUGUCUUGGGACUCCUCACUACCACAUCAAAAAAA